This is a non-coding RNA of Cinara cedri, 424 nucleotides long. Lineage: Eukaryota; Metazoa; Arthropoda; Insecta; Hemiptera; Aphididae. The record is from the annotation of a GenBank genome assembly.
CGGAUAUUGACCAAGUUGACCAAGUCACUUACAUUGACGGGCCUGCAGGAGUAUUUGAAACCCGCUAUUUCCUGUGAAACCUCGAAAUCUGAGCGUAAGAUUGGUUGGAGACAGGGUUAAAAGUUAAGACAACCAAAAGACAUAUACUCGGUACUCGCACGCACAAAUUAUCGUUCUCCCGGUUACAUUUGGCGGUCUGUAGGGGGUGUGCAAAGCUUACAACUACAAUACAACCUCUCGCCGCAACGACACGGUGAUGUUCGUAUUAAAAUUCAACCGGAAUCCAAUCGCUCCGACACGCCUAUAAAAACGCUAAACACUGAAUUCAUGUCAGAAAAGACGGCACGAAUCAAUAACACACACAGUACGGCGCAACAACAAAAGUUGAUAUUGCGUUCACUUGCUCCGAUGCUAUACGUGUUAA